This 256-nucleotide ribosomal RNA is filed under the name uncultured bacterium. RNAcentral's name for it is "partial 16S ribosomal RNA". It matches the Rfam family "Bacterial small subunit ribosomal RNA", at positions 524 to 776 of the family's 1533-position model. The record is from RNAcentral.
CACGUAGGGUGCGAGCGUUUGUCCGGAAUUAUUGGGCGUAAAGAGCUCGUAGGCGGUGUGUCGCGUCGGCCGUGAAAACCUGCAGCUUAACUGUGGGCUUGCGGUCGAUACGGGCAUCACUGGAGUUCGGCAGGGGAGACUGGAAUUCCUGGUGUAGCGGUGAAAUGCGCAGAUAUCAGGAGGAACACCGGUGGCGAAGGCGGGUCUCUGGGCCGAUGACUGACGCUGAGGAGCGAAAGCGUGGGGAGCGAACAGG